Non-coding RNA from Salvelinus sp. IW2-2015, 768 nucleotides. The record is from RefSeq and is a predicted model, not a curated record. Lineage: Eukaryota; Metazoa; Chordata; Actinopteri; Salmoniformes; Salmonidae.
CAUUGUGACGGGUUGUACAUUGUGACAGACUGUACAUUGUGACGGGUUGUACAUUGUGACGGGUUGUACAUUGUGACAGACUGUACAUUGUGACAGACUGUACAUUGUGACAGACUGUACAUUGUGAUCAUAAUUGUUGUCUGCAUCCACAGGCCAAUGAAAAGAUGGUGAUGAGAACCACAACAUUUUUGGAUGAAGAGAAGAAAGAGGUGGAAGUUCUGAAAGUGGUGAUGACAAUCGAGUCCACCCUCAAGAAGCUCCUUUACCUGGGACGUAAAACUGCUACUAAUUCAAAACGGUAAAGGCAGAAAGGAAGAAGGGAGGCUCUGUCAGGAAAUAGAGAAGGAAGAGGAUGAGGAGAUUGAUACUGGUGCUGGAGGCGUUUCUACAGGAGCUGGUCAACAAAAGAUGGAGACCCUGCAGACGGAGAGUUUAGAGGAUUAAGUCAGCAAUCUUGAUACGCAGGCAUUAAACAUGUUAUAUAUAAAUAGUGAAUUUGGUUCCUAGUGAAUACACUUCAGAGGGAAGCAAACGGGGUGGGACCUUUCUGAAAUAAUGUCGAGAAAAACGUGAAAAAAAUGAUGGUUAUUGAAUCCACUGUUAAGAAGCUCCUUGGGAUAGUACAAAUAUUUCUGAAUACAGGGCAGAGAUUUGACAUGGUAUUUUUUUGUGGGGGGUUGUUAUGUUGCAGUCAUGUUAAAUUUACUGUCUGUAUUCCUUAAUGUCUCAAUGUAUGGAAUAUUCUGAUUUAAAGCUAAAUUGUUCUGA